CGAGCGAGGCCGGCUGCGCAUGUCAAGUUCGUCUGUUCGGCGACCCGUCUCUUUUGAAUGUAGCCCGUUUGAUGGGCUCCCGCCAUUUCUUGCAUUCUUUCUGCAUUUCGACACAGCACCUGUGCACUAUUCUGGAACGGCAAGAUCGCAACACGCACCUAAUGUUCACGGCGCAAUGCUGAAGAAACAACUUGUCAAGUGCUGCUUCUGCGAGUGCGCUGAGUUCCUCCACUCUGCGUGACUGCGAGCGUCACGAAUACUGCAUAGUGUGUACAAAAGGAAGACAGCCUGUAUAGCUACAAGGAGGUGGUGCCGACGAUGGAUCUCGCUACCAACACAGUGAAGGAGACAUCGACAAGCUGCAGAUAAGUAUAUUUCUACUGUUUCAUAUUUAGCGUAAUAAGAGUGCACGGAUUAAGUCACUUUCGUAGUAACGAACUGAAUGUCCAGCAGUUUAAAGAAGGCAGUGAGAACCAAUGAGUGUUCGUGCUUUUACAUGCAAGUGGGCCUGCGAAAAUAUGGAAAAGAUGAAGGUAACCUUCACUAACUUGGUGAGAUAACAGAAAUUCAUGACUGACAUUAAGCCCGCAAAAUUUAUGAAAGAGUAUCUUUAUCCAGCUGAAAUAUCAAUAGCAGGUACUGAUAUAAAGCAGGAAACUUGUACAAAAGUUCCACGGGUUGAACAGCACAUGGAAGGCAUUACCGAAUCGUGAUCGCCACGUUACCGAUAUCCUUGAAAAAAAGUUUAGAACCAUUGCAUUCUACCGGUUAUGCAAUAUGGGGCAUAAACCUGGAGGUUAACAUAGAAACUAGAGAUGUCAAGGACUGUGCAGAAAGCGAAGUAACAAAUAUUUUUGGAGAUAGCAUUAAGAGGAAGCUUUAGCUUGGGAGCUCCUAUCUAAAUACAUGUAAAAGGAGAAUUCGUUUUUCUCGGCAACUACUGCACCAAAUUUGACGAGGUUUGUUGCAGUUAAAAGAAAAACUCAAAAUGUAGUGACUGUUGGUUUCGAAAUUUCGAGUUAGGUUGUGAAUAUUUUAUGAAAACUUGGCAAAAAUCGCAAAUUUUCAGAAAACGAAACUAUCAAGUUUACAACUCCGUAACUCUUCACGAAAAAACGAUAUCGUAAUUCUGUGAAUUGUACCUGAUAGCACGUCUAAAACAGACCAAAUUGGUGUGUUACACAUGAAUAUCUAAAAAUGGAGUAAUGUGUAAUUACAACUUUUGCAGAACCCUUGUAAACAAUGUAACAAAUUCACGUAAGAUGUAAACUGACAUAUCAAAUUUGUCCGCUUUCAAUGAUCUAAUGGAUGCCGUUUACAGAAUCGCGAUAUCUGUUCUUGAUGCAGAGCUAUUAGUUUGUAAACUUUGUGCGUCUAUUUUUUUCAUACGUCUCAAUUUUUGAAAAUCCUCUUAACAAAAUUCAAGCCCUAAAUCAAAAUUCCGCUUCCAACAGUCACUAGAAUUUAACUUUCUCUCUCAAAUGCAACAAAUUUCACUAAAAUCGGUUCAGGGUUUAUCUCAGAAAAACGUUUUUGCGUUUUUACAUGUAUUUGAAUAGGCCGCGUCGGAGUUGGGCCCGAGCUAAAGCUUCCUCUAAAGGCAGGAAGACAGUGUAUAGUAAACCAUGGCAACUGAUAUGCUAGUUGAGAUUAAGAGAAAAAAAAAAGGAAUCGGCAGGCAGGCCAUGCACAUAUUCGAUCACUUGUUGCCAAUUCAUAACAGGUGAUUUCAUAAGCGUGACAGAAUGGAUGUCAAGGAGAGAGAACUACAGCCGAGGAUGGUAGAAAAUUGCGUGAUGGGACAAAAAUAUGUUUGUUGGCACAGGAUGCAAUCAGCUCGUAUAAGAAGGGAUUUAGGGUGAGGCAUUUGUUUUGCAGCGAACAAAAAUAGGUUUGUGGUGCUGACAGUAGAGACUCGUGAAGGAGCGGGGCCACCUCAGCUGCUGGCACACUAAUCAACAUGACAAUUGGCUCUGAAAAAGAAAACUCCAGUUAUGAAAAAUAAAGCAACGUUGUCCUGACACAUUGUCUUAUUAAGCAUACUACACUAAAGACUUCCACAGUUAAGGGCACUUAGUACUAAGAGUGCUACGAGCAUUGUUCUUUGUAAAUAAUGGUUUGUAUGCGGCUGAUUCAUUCCAAUAAUCCACUUUUUUUUUGCAGCAAAACAUUCUGCUGCUGGAGGCACUCAACUGCCUGGUGGCCGUAGGCGAGCGCCAGGCACGUGCUCUUGAGAGUGUGGCAGAAGUCCAGAGGGCUGCUCUGCAACAGUAGUAUCGGUGCCCUCACUGCUCUCCUGUCGAGCACACAGAAGGCACCUUAUAAAGGAGCUUUCAGUUUAAUAUGUUGUUUAUUAUUCAAGAACAUGAAUAAAACUAUUGUAGUAAACAUUGUGCUGUGCAUAUUAGGGGACUUGUAACAUGCACUUGGUGUCCCUUCAACAUAGGCAAAAACGUAAGACAACCUGUGCCACUCUUGGACCAUGUAAAUAAAUAAUACACUAAUGCAGCAUA
Long non-coding RNA from Dermacentor albipictus, 2513 nucleotides. RefSeq lists it as uncharacterized. Lineage: Eukaryota; Metazoa; Arthropoda; Arachnida; Ixodida; Ixodidae. The record is from RefSeq and is a predicted model, not a curated record.